This 73-nucleotide transfer RNA is filed under the name Ovis aries (sheep). It matches the Rfam family "tRNA". Rfam says of the family: Transfer RNA (tRNA) molecules are approximately 80 nucleotides in length. Their secondary structure includes four short double-helical elements and three loops (D, anti-codon, and T loops). The record is from Rfam by way of RNAcentral. Lineage: Eukaryota; Metazoa; Chordata; Mammalia; Artiodactyla; Bovidae.
UCCCCAGUGGUCCCGUGGCUAAGGUUCUGCGCUCCCAAUGCAGGGGACCCAGGUUCAAUCCCUGGUUGGGGAA